This 306-nucleotide ribosomal RNA is filed under the name uncultured bacterium. RNAcentral's name for it is "partial 16S ribosomal RNA". It matches the Rfam family "Bacterial small subunit ribosomal RNA", at positions 507 to 807 of the family's 1533-position model. The record is from RNAcentral.
GACAGCAGUAGCCGCGGUAAAACGAAGGGUGCAAGCGUUACUCGGAAUUACUGGGCGUAAAGCGUGCGUAGGUGGUGGUUUAAGUCCGUUGUGAAAGCCCUGGGCUCAACCUGGGAAUUGCAGUGGAUACUGGGUCACUAGAGUGUGGUAGAGGAUAGUGGAAUUUCCGGUGUAGCAGUGAAAUGCGUAGAGAUCGGAAGGAACAUCUGUGGCGAAGGCGACUAUCUGGGCCAACACUGACACUGAGGCACGAAAGCGUGGGGAGCAAACAGGAUUAGAUACCCCCGUAGUCCCUGUCUCUUAUAC